AGCAGCCGCGGUAAUUCCAGCUCCAAUAGCGUAUAUUAAAGUUGUUGCAGUUAAAAAGCUCGUAGUUGAAUUUCGGAGUUUGUCGGUUGGUCGGGCUUUAUUGUCCGCACUGACCUGAUAGAUUCCUACCUUCUGAAUAACCAGCAUGCUAUUAAUUUAGUGCGUUGGGGAAGCAGAGCUAUUACCUUGAAAAAUUAGAGUGCUUAAAGCAGGCUUAUGCUUGAAUAGAUUAGCAUGGAAUAAUAAAAUAGGACGGCUUGGUUCUAUUUUGUUGGUUUCUAGGAUCACCGUAAUGAUUAAUAGGGAUAGUUGGGGGCAUUAGUAUUCAAUUGUCAGAGGUGAAAUUCUUGGAUUUAUUGAAGACUAACUUCUGCGAAAGCAUUUGCCAAGGAUGUUUUCAUUAAUCAAGAACGAAAGUUAGGGGAUCGAAGACGAUCAGAUACCGUCGUAGUCUUAACCAUAAACUAUGCCGACUAGGGAUCGGACGAUGUUAAUUUUUAAUGACUCGUUCGGCGCCUUA
Molecule: ribosomal RNA, 520 nt
Filed under: uncultured Acaulospora
Lineage: Eukaryota; Fungi; Glomeromycota; Glomeromycetes; Diversisporales; Acaulosporaceae
Description: SSU rRNA
Rfam family: Eukaryotic small subunit ribosomal RNA
Source: RNAcentral